CCAGUAGUGGGGGACAACAUGGUGAAAACCAUGCUAAUACCGCAUACGCCCUACGGGGAAAGCAGGGGAUCUUCGGACCUUGCGCUAUUGGAUGAGUCUGCGUCGGAUUAGAUUGUUGGUGGGGUAAUGGCCUACCAAGUCGACGAUCCGUAGCUGGUCUGAGAGGACGAUCAGCCACACUGGAACUGAGACACGGUCCAGACUCCUACGGGAGGCAGCAGUGGGGAAUAUUGCACAAUGGGCGCAAGUGAUGCAGCCAUGCCGCGUGUGUGAAGAAGGCUCUAGGGUUGUAAAGCACUUUCAAUAGCGAGGAAAAGCUGACAGUUAAUACCUGUCAGCCCUGACGUUAACUAUAGAAGAAGCACCGGCUAACUCCGUGCCAGCAGCCGCGGUAAUACGGAGGGUGCAAGCGUUAAUCGGAAUUACUGGGCGUAAAGCGCGCGUAGGGGUUUGGUCAGUUGGAUGUGAAAGCCCCGGGCUUAACCUGGGAACUGCAUUCAAUACUGCCAAACUCGAGUACGAGAGAGGGGGGUAGAAUUUCUAGUGUAGCGGUGAAAUGCGUAGAUAUUAGAAGGAAUACCAGUGGCGAAGGGGCCCCCUGGCUCGAUACUGACGCUGAGGUGCGAAAGGUGGGGAGCAAACAGGAUUAGAUACCCUGGUAGUCCACGCCGUAAACGAUGUCUGCUAGCCGUUGCGACUUUAAGUUGCUAGUGGCGCAGUAACGCGAUAAGCAGACCGCCUGGGGAGUACGGCCGCAAGUUAAAACUCAAAUGAAUUGACGGGGGCCC
This 788-nucleotide ribosomal RNA is filed under the name uncultured bacterium. Its description in RNAcentral is "bacterial SSU rRNA". It matches the Rfam family "Bacterial small subunit ribosomal RNA", at positions 130 to 922 of the family's 1533-position model. The record is from RNAcentral.